RNAcentral lists this ribosomal RNA (246 nucleotides) under uncultured bacterium. RNAcentral's name for it is "partial small subunit ribosomal RNA". It matches the Rfam family "Bacterial small subunit ribosomal RNA", at positions 26 to 286 of the family's 1533-position model. The record is from RNAcentral.
AGAAUCAACGCUGGCGGCGUGCCUAACACAUGCAAGUCGCACGAGAAAGGGACUUCGGUCCUGAGUAAAGUGGCGCACGGGUGAGUAACACGUGACUAACCUACCCUUGAGUGGGGGAUAACCUAGGGAAACCUGGGCUAAUACCGCAUAAUACCUACGGGUCAAAGGAGCAAUUCGCUUUAGGAGGGGGUCGCGGCAGAUUAGUUAGUUGGCGGGGUAAUGGCCCACCAAGACAGUGAUCUGUAU